This 465-nucleotide ribosomal RNA is filed under the name uncultured Shewanella sp. Its description in RNAcentral is "bacterial SSU rRNA". It matches the Rfam family "Bacterial small subunit ribosomal RNA", at positions 338 to 795 of the family's 1533-position model. The record is from RNAcentral. Lineage: Bacteria; Pseudomonadati; Pseudomonadota; Gammaproteobacteria; Alteromonadales; Shewanellaceae.
CCUACGGGGGGCAGCAGUGGGGAAUAUUGCACAAUGGGGGAAACCCUGAUGCAGCCAUGCCGCGUGUGUGAAGAAGGCCUUCGGGUUGUAAAGCACUUUCAGCGAGGAGGAAAGGGUGUAAGUUAAUACCUUACAUCUGUGACGUUACUCGCAGAAGAAGCACCGGCUAACUCCGUGCCAGCAGCCGCGGUAAUACGGAGGGUGCGAGCGUUAAUCGGAAUUACUGGGCGUAAAGCGUGCGCAGGCGGUUUGUUAAGCGAGAUGUGAAAGCCCCGGGCUCAACCUGGGAACCGCAUUUCGAACUGGCAGACUAGAGUCUUGGAGAGGGGGGUAGAAUUUCCGGUGUAGCGGUGAAAUGCGUAGAGAUCGGAAGGAAUACCAGUGGCGAAGGCGGCCCCCUGGACAGAUACUGACACUCAGAUGCGAAAGCGUGGGGAGCAAACAGGAUUAGAUACCCUGGUAGUC